CAAUAGCGUAUAUUAAAGUUGUUGCAGUUAAAAAGCUCGUAGUUGAAUUUCUGUCAGGAGUGACCGGGCCUUUGGAUGAACUUCCAUUGUUUUUUGCUCUGUUUGUCGUCUCUAGACAUCCUGAAAUAUUUUUUAAAAAUAUUUCUCUUUUACUGUUAGCAAAAUAGAGUGUUCCAAGCAAAGCGUAGUUUUGAAUACAUUAGAAUGGAAUAAUAAGAUAGGACUUUGGUGCUAUUUUGUUGGUUUGCACACCAAGGUAAUGAUUAAUAGGGACAGUUGGGGGUAUUCGUAUUUAAUUGUCAGAGGUGAAAUUCUUGGAUUUAUGAAAGACGAACUACUGCGAAAGCAUUUACCAAGGAUGUUUUCAUUAA
RNAcentral lists this ribosomal RNA (371 nucleotides) under uncultured eukaryote. RNAcentral describes it as "partial 18S ribosomal RNA". It matches the Rfam family "Eukaryotic small subunit ribosomal RNA", at positions 592 to 976 of the family's 1831-position model. The record is from RNAcentral.